GCUGAAAGGCGGUAUGCUUUGACUUGUAAUCAGUAGGUCCCGGGUUCGACUCCUGGUGCCGGCACCA
RNAcentral lists this transfer RNA (67 nucleotides) under Pseudomonas sp. AAC. RNAcentral describes it as "tRNA-Thr". RNAcentral also lists the same sequence under 1 other name. The record is from RNAcentral. Lineage: Bacteria; Pseudomonadati; Pseudomonadota; Gammaproteobacteria; Pseudomonadales; Pseudomonadaceae.